Tarenaya hassleriana is the source of this 1350-nucleotide long non-coding RNA. RefSeq lists it as uncharacterized. NCBI's taxonomy places the organism in Eukaryota, Viridiplantae, Streptophyta, Magnoliopsida, Brassicales, Cleomaceae. The record is from RefSeq and is a predicted model, not a curated record. The transcript is spliced from 3 exons.
UUCAUGUUCAUGAACUGGAGCAGGAUUCAUGGCCCCGAACUAAAAUCUUGUCUGAAAUUCCUGUUUCAGAGCCCCAAACGUAUCAUUUGACUGUACACAGAAGAAGAAAAAUCAAAUUCUGUGGAGGAAUUUCGUUUGAAUUUUAUAUUUUUAAUUAUAAUAUCAUAAUAAUGAUUUUCUGAAUAUUGUAUUCUUUUGCACUGCCAGUUUAUCUUCCUCUCUCUGAUUCAUCGAUGGCUUUCUCUUUGAACCCUCUAUCGACUCAUAGAUUACAUUUAAACAUUCAAAAUCCUCCUCCUCGGUUUCUAAUCCAGACAGGAUCUCCACGAUUUCGAGUUCUUCGCUGCCAGACAAAACCAGAAUCCGCCGAAGCCUAGGUAAAAAACCCAUCAAAAGAAGGAAGCAAAAGCUUCGAUUUUUCUCUCACAAUUUCGAUUUUUUACGAGUCUGGUCGGAUUCUGGGGGCAAUUGGCGUAAUGGGUCUUGCGUCUCUCGGCUCAGGAAAAGCUGGUUGUUAAUGGCGGCUCGGUCGGUGAUAUGGUUCAUCGUCCUCAGCGAAGGCAACGAAUUCAUCUCCGGCUGAUUCUGCUUCUGGGUUCCCGGAAUUUCCCACCAAAGAUAUCAACAGACGAGUCGCGGUCCUGACUGUAGUUGCAGCUUUAGGGCUUUUCGUCUCCACGAGGCUCGAUUUCGGGGUUUCCUUGAGGGAUUUGUCAGCUUUGGCAGGCUGGGAAUUAGGCCUUGUCGAAUGGGAAGGCGACCGUGGUGGAGUUCUAUGCCGACUGGUGUGAGGUGUGUCGGGAACUAGCCCCUGAUGUUUACAAAGUCGAGCAGCAGUACAAGUACGGAUCAUGUUCUUCUCGUGAAAGGAUUUGGGCAGGGACCUGGUUAACUCCGCGAUGCUAAACGUGGACAACACGAAGUGGGAACAAGAGCUGGACGAGGUCGGGGUCGAGGGUAUUCCCAAUUUCGCAUUCCUCGAAAGACGGGAAACGAGGAAGGGAAUGCAGUAUCUACUCGAGAACGUAGAUGCUCUUGCUCGUGGUGAGCCGUCCAUUCCGCGUGCCCGAGCGGUGGCCGGUCGGUUCUCGAGCCGCUGAUUCCCGUAACGCUCAUCAAGCGGCCGAUCCCAGAAGCCAUGGAUAGACAGAAAGACAGACCCUCCUCUUCCUUUUCUACUCGAAGUUGUUCCAAGGUGUUAAGUGUGUCUCUUAUGUUUUCAGUGCGAAUGCUCUGUUUCAUAGGAUCCAUUUUUAGCAAUCUUGAUCUUUCUCUUGCAGCAUUUAUCACCUUGAGGCUUGAGUUGUAAUUAAUUUUAUCUUUUAUUUGUCACUCAAUUAAUUUCUCUUC